UGUGUUUAAGAAUGAGGAGUUGGUUUGGCAAAGCACAAGGAGUUUAGUGUUUGGAAUUUUAGAGUGGAUAAAAAAAAUUAAAAAAAAAAAAGGUAAUAGAUAGAGAUAUGAAGAAAUAAAUUAGGAAAAAAGAUGCUUGGCUUCUCAGAGGCAUUGUUCCAAUAAACAUCUUUAUUCAUCCUUAUAAGAUUCUUGGAUAGCAGCCUUAGAUUUGCAGGCUUAUGAUUUGAAUGAAUCUAAAAUCGGUCUAGAUGUUUGAGGGCCCAACUCUGCUUUAUGCUUUAAAGUCACUUCCAAAACCAAUGACAGAUAAAUAACAGCCUUGUGUGUCUACUACAGGAAUCAAACUACCACAAAAACAAAACAGAACAAAAAAAAAAAAGAGGGAAAAAAAAACCAACAUAUCUAUCCUCUUUCUCCCUCUUUUUUGUUUCAUUGUAGAAGCCAUGGUUUUUAGUAUACACAGAGUACUUAUUGUCCUUCUCAUGUGUGUUGCACUUUUAGCUGUUAAACCAGAACAGGCUUGUGCUUUGAGAAGUAUAGACCUUGCUCUAAGACCAAGCCGCCACAUUCUAGUUGAAGACUCGAGGGUGGAGGAACUGAACAUGAAAAGGAAUUCACUACCACAAAACAACAAGUUUGAUCCAAAUCGAUCAAGCAAAAGAAGGGUUCGGCGAGGAUCGGAUCCUAUCCACAACAGGUCUUAGUUCAUUUCUUUUGUUUGCAGAAGGAACCCACAAAUUUGACAUCAACAGAAGGAAAGAAACAGAGAAAGGUUCAGUCCACAGCAGAGGAAGAAACACCAGCAAGAAUCUGGUUUCUCCAAUGGUUGAGUUUUUGUUCUUCAGUUGUGUAUGGUAAAGCUUCCUGGAGGAAGUCCACCACAAUGACCUCCACACUGAAACUAGAAGUGAAUUCACAAACUUAGCAGUAAAAAGAUCACAGAGAUGAAUGACAAAAAGAAUCCAACUACUUGACAAAGUAUCAUUGAAUUCUUUUGAAAAGAGGAAUACUUUGAAUCUGUUUUGAACUUCAAGUUCAAGUUUCAUGUUGAAACAAGAUUCUUUUUUAAUCCAUCAGCUAGAUCUUAACAAAGCUUUUUAUUAAUUUAGUUCAUCUUCUACGGAUGUUAUUUUGGGAAAUUUUAUAGAAGAUGUCUCCUCUCUUCCCCAGAAAUUGAUCAGUUCCACUCAAAUCUACACAUAAUCAAUUACCCAUCAGCUCACUGAGAAGCCUAGUGAAUCUGUACAACUCAACAUGUGGCCUUGCCUUUUGCUCUUUAGCUUUUUCUUUAUAUAUUGUGGGUUUCAAAGCUUCGAGACGAACAUAAGAAAGUGUAAUGAGUAAAGCAUUUUGAUGUUAUGAGAAACUGUGAAGAAGAGUCUAAAAGUGUAAUGAUUAAAGCAUUUUGAUGUUCUGAGGAAUUGUGAAGAAGAGUCUAUUCAUUGUUGUUUGUGUUAAACAAGAAGAAAAAUCUUGCACAUCAUAAUCAUGGUUGACCAAGUACUGAUAA
Cucumis melo (muskmelon) is the source of this 1513-nucleotide long non-coding RNA. RefSeq lists it as uncharacterized. The transcript is spliced from 2 exons. The record is from RefSeq and is a predicted model, not a curated record. Lineage: Eukaryota; Viridiplantae; Streptophyta; Magnoliopsida; Cucurbitales; Cucurbitaceae.